This 1324-nucleotide ribosomal RNA is filed under the name Salmonella enterica subsp. enterica serovar Chester. Its description in RNAcentral is "partial 23S ribosomal RNA". It matches the Rfam family "Bacterial large subunit ribosomal RNA", at positions 1589 to 2889 of the family's 2925-position model. The record is from RNAcentral. Lineage: Bacteria; Pseudomonadati; Pseudomonadota; Gammaproteobacteria; Enterobacterales; Enterobacteriaceae.
AGCAACAAAUGCCCUGCUUCCAGGAAAAGCCUCUAAGCAUCAGGUAACAUCAAAUCGUACCCCAAACCGACACAGGUGGUCAGGUAGAGAAUACCAAGGCGCUUGAGAGAACUCGGGUGAAGGAACUAGGCAAAAUGGUGCCGUAACUUCGGGAGAAGGCACGCUGACACGUAGGUGAAGUGAUUUACUCAUGGAGCUGAAGUCAGUCGAAGAUACCAGCUGGCUGCAACUGUUUAUUAAAAACACAGCACUGUGCAAACACGAAAGUGGACGUAUACGGUGUGACGCCUGCCCGGUGCCGGAAGGUUAAUUGAUGGGGUCAGCGCAAGCGAAGCUCCUGAUCGAAGCCCCGGUAAACGGCGGCCGUAACUAUAACGGUCCUAAGGUAGCGAAAUUCCUUGUCGGGUAAGUUCCGACCUGCACGAAUGGCGUAAUGAUGGCCAGGCUGUCUCCACCCGAGACUCAGUGAAAUUGAACUCGCUGUGAAGAUGCAGUGUACCCGCGGCAAGACGGAAAGACCCCGUGAACCUUUACUAUAGCUUGACACUGAACAUUGAGCCUUGAUGUGUAGGAUAGGUGGGAGGCUUUGAAGUGUGGACGCCAGUCUGCAUGGAGCCGACCUUGAAAUACCACCCUUUAAUGUUUGAUGUUCUAACGUGGACCCGUGAUCCGGGUUGCGGACAGUGUCUGGUGGGUAGUUUGACUGGGGCGGUCUCCUCCUAAAGAGUAACGGAGGAGCACGAAGGUUGGCUAAUCCUGGUCGGACAUCAGGAGGUUAGUGCAAUGGCAUAAGCCAGCUUGACUGCGAGCGUGACGGCGCGAGCAGGUGCGAAAGCAGGUCAUAGUGAUCCGGUGGUUCUGAAUGGAAGGGCCAUCGCUCAACGGAUAAAAGGUACUCCGGGGAUAACAGGCUGAUACCGCCCAAGAGUUCAUAUCGACGGCGGUGUUUGGCACCUCGAUGUCGGCUCAUCACAUCCUGGGGCUGAAGUAGGUCCCAAGGGUAUGGCUGUUCGCCAUUUAAAGUGGUACGCGAGCUGGGUUUAGAACGUCGUGAGACAGUUCGGUCCCUAUCUGCCGUGGGCGCUGGAGAACUGAGGGGGGCUGCUCCUAGUACGAGAGGACCGGAGUGGACGCAUCACUGGUGUUCGGGUUGUCAUGCCAAUGGCACUGCCCGGUAGCUAAAUGCGGAAGAGAUAAGUGCUGAAAGCAUCUAAGCACGAAACUUGCCCCGAGAUGAGUUCUCCCUGAGACUUUAGGUCUCCUGAAGGAACGUUGAAGACGACGACGUUGAUAGGCCGGGUGUGUAAGCGCAGCGAUGCGUUGA